Molecule: non-coding RNA, 232 nt
Organism: Pelobates cultripes (western spadefoot toad)
Lineage: Eukaryota; Metazoa; Chordata; Amphibia; Anura; Pelobatidae
Source: the annotation of a GenBank genome assembly
GACUCUCCUCACCUUGCACUAUAUGUUUGACAAAGCUCUCAGGAUGGACGUUAGGACAAGCUCCAACUCAGAGGAGAGCAGCAGGCUGUCCAAGCCUGGACUCAAGGAGGGCAAGGAGGCAAGGGACCCCCAGGGGAAUAUUUCCAGUACUUACCUGAAGGAGCAGCAAAGCGGGUACACAGCUCCAGCCUCCUCUGAGGGGUGUCCCAAAAGUAAGGGAGCCCCAGCAGAC